This 450-nucleotide ribosomal RNA is filed under the name uncultured bacterium. Its description in RNAcentral is "partial 16S ribosomal RNA". It matches the Rfam family "Bacterial small subunit ribosomal RNA", at positions 354 to 796 of the family's 1533-position model. The record is from RNAcentral.
GUGGGGAAUUUUGGACAAUGGGCGCAAGCCUGAUCCAGCAAUGCCGCGUGCAGGAAGAAGGCCUUCGGGUUGUAAACUGCUUUUGUACGGAACGAAACGGUCCUGGCUAAUAUCCGGGGCUAAUGACGGUACCGUAAGAAUAAGCACCGGCUAACUAUGUGCCAGCAGCCGCGGUAAUACGUAGGGUGCGAGCGUUAAUCGGAAUUAUUGGGCGUAAAGCGUGCGCAGGCGGUGCUGUAAGACAGGCGUGAAAUCCCCGGGCUCAAGCUGAGAAUUGCGCUUGUGACUGCAGUGCUGGAGUGCGGCAGAGGGGGAUGGAAUUCCGCGUGUAGCAGUGAAAUGCGUAGAUAUGCGGAGGAACACCGAUGGCGAAGGCAAUCCCCUGGGCCUGCACUGACGCUCAUGCACGAAAGCGUGGGGAGCAAACAGGAUUAGAAACCCCUGUAGUCC